RNAcentral lists this ribosomal RNA (266 nucleotides) under uncultured Staphylococcus sp. Its description in RNAcentral is "partial 16S ribosomal RNA". It matches the Rfam family "Bacterial small subunit ribosomal RNA", at positions 96 to 354 of the family's 1533-position model. The record is from RNAcentral. Lineage: Bacteria; Bacillati; Bacillota; Bacilli; Caryophanales; Staphylococcaceae.
CGGCGGACGGGUGAGUAACACGUGGAUAACCUACCUAUAAGACUGGGAUAACUUCGGGAAACCGGAGCUAAUACCGGAUAAUAUAUUGAACCGCAUGGUUCAAUAGUGAAAGACGGUUUUGCUGUCACUUAUAGAUGGAUCCGCGCCGCAUUAGCUAGUUGGUAAGGUAACGGCUUACCAAGGUAACGAUGCGUAGCCGACCUGAGAGGGUGAUCGGCCACACUGGAACUGAGACACGGUCCAGACUCCUACGGGAGGCAGCAGGC